RNAcentral lists this ribosomal RNA (476 nucleotides) under uncultured bacterium. Its description in RNAcentral is "SSU rRNA". It matches the Rfam family "Bacterial small subunit ribosomal RNA", at positions 26 to 518 of the family's 1533-position model. The record is from RNAcentral.
AGGACGAACGCUGGCGGCGUGCUUAACACAUGCAAGUCGAACGGAAAGGCCCGCUUGCGGGUACUCGAGUGGCGAACGGGUGAGUAACACGUGGGCAACCUGCCCUCAGCUUCGGGAUAACAUUUGGAAACAGGUGCUAAUACCGGAUAAUAACCUUUCAUCGCAUGGUGUGGGGUUCAAAGUUUUUCGGCUGGGGAUGGGCCCGCGGCCUAUCAGCUUGUUGGUGGGGUAAUGGCCUACCAAGGCGACGACGGGUAGCCGGCCUGAGAGGGCGACCGGCCACACUGGGACUGAGACACGGCCCAGACUCCUACGGGAGGCAGCAGUGGGGAAUAUUGCGCAAUGGGCGGAAGCCUGACGCAGCGACGCCGCGUGAGGGAUGACGGCCUUCGGGUUGUAAACCUCUUCAGCUCUGACGAAGCGCAAGUGACGGUAGGAGCAGAAGAAGCACCGGCCAACUACGCGCCAGCAGCCGC